UGACCACACCCUUUUCAGAAGCCAGCCUGGAUAAGAAUUGUUGGAAGUAGAUACCCACUUAAAGGAAUAAAGGGAGCAGCAAUAAAGAAGUUAUACUUGUUGCUUAAGAAAAAAAGAGAACUGGUUUAUCAGUGGUUCCAGAAUACUUUUCCUAAUUUUGCGGACAUUUGUACUCCACCAUAAUUACUCUCUCCUUGUCAUGAAAUGAACAGGCAAAAUGAAUAAGAAAAAGAAAAGUGUGUGGCAGCAAACUCAAGCCCUUCUGUAUAAGAAUUUUCUUAAAAAAUGGAGGAAGAAAAGAGAGAGCUUGUUGGAAUGGGGCCUCCCAAUACUUCUAGGACUGUAUAUGGGCCUAUUUUCAUAUUUCAGAGAAAAUUUUCGGGUUCCUGAAAUGCCUCCUCAGGAUCUUGGAAGGGUCGAUAAAUUUAAUACCUCUUCUAUAAAGGUUGUGUAUACACCAAUUUCUAGUAUAACCCAGCAGAUAAUGAAUAAAACAGCACUUGCUCCCUUUUUGAAAGGAAAAGAAGUCAUUGGAGUGCCAGAUCAAAAAUCAAUGGAUAAAAUAAUUCUAGAGAAUUUUCCAGACAUUGUGGGAAUCAUCUUUAAUGACACUUUCUCAUAUAAGUUGAAAUGUUUUCAGGGGUAUGACAUUCCAUUUAUGGUGGAAGAAGAUUUCUUAGCUCAUUGCUGGCAUGGAUAUGAUUGGUUUUCAUGUUUACUGUCCCAGUACUGGGAAAGAGGAUUUGUGACCUUACAAACUGCCAUUAAUUCUGCUAUUAUAGAGAUCACAACAAAUCACUCUGUGAUGGAGGAGUUGAUGUCGGUUACUGGUAUAAAUAUGAAGACAUUACCUUUCAUUGCUAAAGACAUAUUUAUGUAUGAGAUGUUUAUUUUCUACUGUUUGCUUUAUUUCUUCCCAUUUAUAUAUUUUGUAUCACUCAGUGUUACAAAAGAGAGGAAAAGGCUUAAGGAUUUGAUGAAAAUGAUGGGCCUACAAGAUUCAGCAUUCUGGCUGUCUUGGGGUUUAAUCUAUGCUGGCUUCACUUUCAUUAUAUCCAUAAUCGUUGCAGUUGUCGUAGCAUCUGCCCAAAUUAUAGCCAUGACAGGCUUCAUGGUCAUAUUUACACUCUUUUUCCUGUAUGGCCUGUCUUUGAUAGCUUUAGUAUUCUUGGUGAGCAUAUUGUUAAAGAAAACUGUCUUCACCAGUUUGGUUGUAUUCCUCUUCACUUUCUUUUGGGGAUGUGUGGGAUUAACUGUACUACACAGACAACUUCCUUCAGCUUUGGAAUGGAUUUUGAGUAUUUGUAGCCCCUUUGCCUUCACUGCUGGAUGGGCUCAGAUCAUCCACCUGGAAAUUAACUUGAAUGGCGUCAUUUUUCCUGACCCUUCAGGAGAUUCGUACAUAAUGAUAGCAACUUUUUUCAUGUUGGCUUUUGAUGCUCUUUUGUACAUGGUAUUGGCCUUAUACUUUGACAGAAUAUUACCCUAUGGAAGUGAGCACCGCUAUUCUCCAUUAUUUUUCCUGAACUCAUCAUCUUGUUUCCAACACCAAAGAAUUCAUAAUAAGAUCACUGAAAAAGAAAUAGAUUCUGAGCAUCCCUACAGUGAUUAUUUUGAACCGGUAGCUCCCGAAUUCCAAGGAAAAGAAGCCAUCAGAAUCAGAAAUGUUAGAAAAGAAUAUAAGGGGAAGUCUGAAAAAGUGGAAGCAUUGAAAGCAGGAUUGAUCCUUGACAUAUAUGAAGGUCAAAUUACAGCAAUUCUGGGUCACAGUGGAGCUGGCAAAUCUUCACUGCUAAAUAUCCUUAAUGGAUUGUCUGUUCCAACAGAAGGAUCAGUUACCGUCUAUAAUAGAAAUCUCUCUGAAAUGCAAGACUUGGAGGAAAUCAGAAAGAUCAGUGGUGUUUGUCCUCAAUUCAAUAUUCAAUUUGACAUACUUACUGUCAGGGAAAACCUCACGCUGUUUGCUAAAAUAAAAGGGAUUCAGCCACAGGAAGUGGAAAAUGAGGUACAAAGAAUAUUAUUGGAAUUGGACAUGCAAAACAUUCAGGAUAACCUUGCUGAAAAUUUAAGUGAAGGACAGAAAAGAAUGCUGACCUUUGGGAUUGCAAUUUUAGGAAACCCUCGGCUUUUGCUGUUAGAUGAACCAACUGCUGGAUUGGAUCCCUUUUCAAGGCACCGAGUAUGGAACUUCCUGAAGGAACGUAAAGCAAACCAUGUGAUUCUCUUCAGUACCAAGUUCCCAGAUGAGGCUGACAUCCUGGCUGAUAGAAAAGUGAUCAUGUCCAAUGGGAGAUUGAAGUGUGCAGGCUCUUCACUCUUUUUGAAGAGAAAAUGGGGUCUUGGAUAUCACUUAAGUUUGUGCAGAAAUGAAUUAUGUGAUCCAGAAAAAAUAACAUCCUUCAUUAAUCACCAUGUCCCUGAUGCUAAGUUGAAAACAGAAAAUGAAGAAAAGCUUGUAUAUACUUUGCCUCUGGAGAGAACAAAUAAAUUUCCAGACCUUUUCAGUGAUCUUGAUAAGUGUUUCGGCCAGGGUGUGAUGAGUUAUGAUGUUUCCAUGUCAACUCUGAAUGAAGUCUUCAUGAAACUAGAAGGAAAAUCAACUUUUGAACAAGAGCUUGAACAAGCAGAGAUGUUAAGAGACACAGGAAACCUAGAGGAAAUGGACUCAGCUCAUUCUUCUCUCCCGGAAAUGCAGAAAGCUACAAGUGACAGGACUCUCUGGAGACUGCAGGUCUGUGCAAUAGCACGGCUCCGUCUCUUAAAGUUAAAACGUGGAAAGAAAGCCCUUUUGUCCUUACUAUUGGUGCUUGCAAUUGCAGUACUCCCUUUGAUUGUGGAAAAGAUAUUUUCUGCUAUAUUAUCUCAAAAGAACGACUGGGAAUUUAAACCUGAAUUCUAUUUCCUCUCUCCUGGACAACGCUCCAGAGACUCCCAUACCAGCCUAUUGAUCAUCAAUAACACAGAAUCAAAUAUUGAAGAUUUUAUAUGUUCACUGAAACAUCAAAAUAUAGUUUUGGAAGUAGAUGACUUUGAAAAUAGAAAUGGCACAGACGAUCUCUCAUACAAUGGAGCUAUCAUAGUUUCUGGUCAAAAAAAGGAUUACAACUUUUCAAUUGUGUGCAAUACCAAGAAAAUUCACUGUUUUCCUAUCCUUAUGAAUAUUAUCAGCAAUGGGCUACUUAGAAUGUUUAAUCAUACAGAAUAUAUUCGAAUUGUGAGAAGUUCAUUGCCUUCUCGUUAUAUGAUGUUUUUGACUGGGCUGCCGGAAGGCACCGUUUUCUUAUAUUUGAUUGUAAGCAGCAUUUCUCCUUACAUCGCCAUGAGCAGUGUCAGUGAUUACAAGAACAAAGCUCAGUUCCAGCUGUGGAUUUCGGGCCUCUACCCUUCUGCUUACUGGUGUGGGCAGGCACUGGUGGAUCUUAACCUCUACGCUUUUAUUCUCCUUUCAACGUAUUCAGUUGUCCUCCUAGAAGAUGUUUCACCCAUUCAUGUUACAAGUCGCAUUGUGUUUGCUAUGGUUGUCUUCGCAUUUGGUUAUGCAGCUUCUCUUAUCUUCUUGACAUACGUGAUAUCAUUUGUUUUUAGCAACAGGAGAAAAAAUAGUGGCCUUUGGUCAUUUUGCUUCUAUGUUAUCUCAAGCUUCAUAUUCUCCCUCAUUUUAAUGAAUGAUUUGAACAUAUCUGUCUCGGUUACCUGCAUGGCAUUGGUUCCCAUGUCUACCAUGGGUGGAUUUCUUACGUUUCUGAUAGAGAAAAUCUACAGGCCCUACAACAGAAUUCAGGACCAAAAACCUGACUUGAAUGAAGUUGAUCUUCUAGUAUGCCUAAUACCUUACUUUCAGGCUUUGAUAUUCAUUUUUGUUCUAAGAUGGCUGGAAAUAAAGUAUGGAAAGAAAACAAUGAGAAAAGACCCUGUUUUCAGAAUAUCCCCCCCAAAUAGAGCUUGUCGACCAAAUCCAGAGGAACCUGUAGAUGAAGAUGAAGAUGUUCAAGAAGAAAGAAUAAGAACAGCAACUGCUCUGACCACCUCCAACUUUGAUGAGAAACCAGUCAUAAUUGCCAGCUGUCUACACAAAGAAUAUGCAAGCAAAAAUAAAAUUUGCUGUUCAAAGAGGAAGAAGAAAGUAGCAGCAAGAAAUAUCUCUUUCUGUGUUAAAAAAGGUGAAAUUUUGGGAUUGCUAGGACCCAAUGGCGCUGGUAAAAGUUCAACUAUCAGAAUGAUAUCUGGGGUCACAAGGCCAACGGCUGGAGAGGUGGAAUUGAAAGGGUACAGUUCAGUUUGUGGCCACCAGGGAGAUGACACGGUCAAGUUCCUGGGGUACUGUCCGCAGGAGGACGCGCUGUGGCCCGGCCUGACCGUGCGGGAGCACCUGGAGGUGUUCGCCGCGGUGAAGGGGCUGAGGAGAGGAGCCGCCGAGGCCGCCAUCGCUCGGCUAGUGGAUACUUUCAAACUGCAUGGGCAGCUGAAGGUUCCAGUGCAGAAACUGACGGCAGGAGUGACCAGGAAGUUGUGUUUUGUGCUGAGCAUGCUGGGAAAUUCACCUGUCCUGCUUCUGGAUGAACCAUCUUCAGGCAUGGAUCCUGCAGGGCGACAGCAAAUGUGCCAGGCAAUUCAGACAGCCAUUAAAAACACCACCAGGGGAGCGCUGCUGAUCACCCACCACCUGGCGGAGGCCGAGGUCCUGUGUGACCGGGUGGCCAUCAUGGUGUCGGGAAGGCUGAGAUGCAUUGGUUCCAUCCAACACCUGAAGAGCAAGUUUGUCAAGGAUUAUAUUUUAGAACUAAAAAUGAAGGAAACUUCUCAAGGACCUCUGGUCCACGCGGAGAUUCUGAAGCUUUUUCCACAGGCUGCACGGCAGGAAAGGUAUUCCUACUUUUUGGUCUAUAAACUGCCCAUGGCGGAUGUUCACCCUCUGUCUCAGGCCUUUCAAAAAUUAGAGGCAGUGAAACAUGAUCUUAACUUGGAAGAAUACAGCCUCUCUCAAUGCACACUGGAAAAGGUGUUCUUAGAGCUUUCUAGGGAGCAGGAAGUGGGAAAUUCUGAUGAGGAAGUUGGUACAACCAUGAGAUGGAGACUCCUCCCUCAUUCAAAUGAUCCUUAAAACCUCAAGCCUAACAAUUCUUUGUAAAGAUCAUGUAAGCAUGUAUGUAAUGAUUAGCAAAGUAUAUGAAGGGCAUAUUCAACAGCCAGAAGCUGCAUGACAACUUCAUCCAGUCCAUGAUUAUCAGUGCUACGGGUUUUCUUUUAUAUGCAAGUACAGCACAAGAUUCUUCCCCUGAAACCUUUUCAGAAAUUGUUUUGAGAGUCACAGGGUAAGGAUGCCCUUGGACUCACAAGGAAACAAGUAUAUGCAUUUGAAAAGCAGUGCAGAUAUACUUUUUGAAAACAAGGGGAGUCACAAGAGAAUUCAUUCAGAUUUUUUAAAUUUUUGAAUAUGUUAUAUUAAGUUCUUAUGAUAGUAAAUUUCAUUCAUCACCCUAUUGAUAAUUUUCUGUGUAUUUGACGCAAGUUUAACCUCAUUUCCCUGUGUGUGUACGUUUGUGUCUUUUGUAUUAAUCAAUUUCUAAAAACCUCCUUGCCAGCUUUCCAUAUUAUUUUAGCUUUUCCCUUAAGUAAUAGCUAUUUCAUUCUAAAUAUCACCAGAAAACUUUUUGAAGACCAAGCAGUAUUCCUGCUGCAUAUCUCUUUUUUCAGUAAUAUGUUAUAUAACUUAAAAAAUUUUAUAUUCACUGAAGAAAAUUUGAAUAAUGGAGAAAAAUAUUGAAAUUGAGGUGAAAUAAAUUGAAUUUAAAAACCACUACAAUCUCACCAUAACAACAACAAAAAAAAUCCAUGCUAACAUUUUCAACUAUUUCCUUCUUUUCCUUACUACCCUUUUUACAUAGUUGAACUCAUAUAAUGUAUACAAUUUCAUAAUUAAAUAAAUGUGCAUAUUCGUUGUCAUAACAUUGAAAUUGUUUAAUAUACAUUUUAAUUUAUGGUGAAGUUGCAGCUUUAGAUAUUUGCAUUUUAUUGUGUUAAUUAUGUGAUUCUUUGUUCAUUUAGUUUUUUGGACUCUAAUCUUUUUAUCAAUUUUAUAAGCUUUUUAUAUAAUAAAAUAUUUUUCUACAUAUUUUUACAAAUAUUUUAAUUAAAUCUGAAGAGUUAUAUUUCUAAAUCUGUGAUAAUCUAUGGUUUACUGCUUAUUC
RNA transcript from Choloepus didactylus (southern two-toed sloth), 6188 nucleotides. It is a transcript of the gene named ATP binding cassette subfamily A member 6, with no coding region annotated. The transcript has 40 exons. Lineage: Eukaryota; Metazoa; Chordata; Mammalia; Pilosa; Megalonychidae. The record is from RefSeq and is a predicted model, not a curated record.